Molecule: long non-coding RNA, 1192 nt
Filed under: Setaria italica (foxtail millet)
Lineage: Eukaryota; Viridiplantae; Streptophyta; Magnoliopsida; Poales; Poaceae
Description: long non-coding RNA (SITA_LNC001543)
Source: RNAcentral
UUCACCCGGGAAGCUCAUUAGUGUGCUCUAUAAAUAUGAGGGAUGGAGCUAAGCAAGGGCGGAUCCAGGAUGUGUGGAUAGGGGGUGCUCACUUUCUUCUUCCUCUUCUUUUCUUCUUCUUCCUCCUUUCCUUCUUCCUUCUCUUCACCCAUGGCUGAAAAUUGGGGGUGGGGAGCGCGCACACACACCAAGCCCCCACGCUGGAUCCGUCCCUGGGGCUAGGGGCGCAUAAUCCCACCACGCCACAACCCUAGCCACCACUUCCUCUCGGCCUGAGCCCGGGACCCUUGCCACGCGUGCGGUGCUAGCACACCAGUGCACAACGUUCCUUCCCCGUACGUGUGGACUCCGUGGAGGCACUGCUGCUGUGCUGAUCGGCUAUGGCAGCUGCUGAGGCGAGGAUGAGGAGGAGACGAUCGUGAUCGACUACUUCCUCUACACCAACACGCAUCUACGUUGGACCGGCUGCUCCAACUCUUCUGCUGCGUUGUGCGUCUAUCGCAAGUUUCCUAGGUGAUGCGGUAGAUAUUUUGCUAGAGUAGUAUGUCCGUUUCCCUACAGCAGCAGGGGCCGAGCUAUGGACCAACUAUAUAAGUUCAUCUCACACUUUCUCCAUCAUGCUGUUUGUAGAGAAAGGGACUUGUCUUCUUACAGAAGGAUGGAAGAUGCAACCUGAGCCUGACUGAUGGAUACGAGACAGCUACAUUGCUACCACCAUUAACUUUUAAUAAGUACUUUAAUGGGUGUCCUCAGGGGUAUAAACAGACCACACCAAGCUGUAAGACCCGUAGCAACUCAUGCUUUGUGUAAAAAGGUUAACGACGAAGCAUCGUACCAAUAAGAAAAGCGCAAGGUUGAAGUCAAUAUGCAAAAUUAUACAGAGUCCCACAAUUGCAGUGAUAUUUUAUCAAUUCAUUUAUAUUCUCUGUAAUUGCAACUGGAUGUUCUAAGACACGUCCUGAGACGGCAAUAUAGACAUUGUGUUGAGCGUUCAGCAAUUGACAAGUUUGCUGUUUUGGCCAUAGUUUUAUGAUUUUUGUCCCGUAGGGUUGAAUCGGGGGUGAUUGCGGAAUCCGUUCCCUGCGAAAAUGUGUGCACCAGGCUUUCUCCAUCGGGUUGUUCCCGUAGAAAGGGACAUCCCUGCUUACCCGGCCGGAAGAGUCGAAGGAGCAACACGAUUGAUGGACACAAG